UUAAAAACUGGAGUUAUAAUGAAAAACCUUACGUGUUUUUUCACAGUACUUAUAGCUUCUGGUGCUUGAUUUUGCGAUUUUGCGAUUUUGCUUGCCAUUGAUACAAUUGGUUUUCAUUACUGGGUGUGAGGAACUGGAGUGCAGGAAUGUACGCUGGUAACUUAAUAUAUGUUGAUGUUGGAGGAAGUGAAGAGUUCACAUGGAACGUUACGGAAUUGAUGAGGAACGUUACAGAAUUGAUGAGGAACUGAAGAAUCAAAGAAGUGGAGAGCUUCAAUUACACAGAAGUUGAAUCGCAUCUGGCGGUUCUGCGUUCCAACCUCCAGGUAAGGUGAAAAAUGUAACUUUGACGGGCCUAUUUUGGGCUGCGGAUUAGAUUUUUUUGUAACCUCAUUUGCUGGAGCCCCAACCGGUCCGGUCAAAUGGAAGAAAUGUUAUAGAAUUCGGCUGACUUGUCAAGCUCGGAUUUGUAGAUUUUUCGUGCUGACGUGGACAGCUUAAA
RNAcentral lists this long non-coding RNA (502 nucleotides) under Brassica napus (rape). Its description in RNAcentral is "long non-coding RNA (BNAP_LNC022620)". The record is from RNAcentral. Lineage: Eukaryota; Viridiplantae; Streptophyta; Magnoliopsida; Brassicales; Brassicaceae.